RNAcentral lists this transfer RNA (72 nucleotides) under Lachnospiraceae bacterium. Its description in RNAcentral is "tRNA-Gln". It matches the Rfam family "tRNA". From Rfam's summary of the family: Transfer RNA (tRNA) molecules are approximately 80 nucleotides in length. Their secondary structure includes four short double-helical elements and three loops (D, anti-codon, and T loops). Further hydrogen bonds mediate the characteristic L-shaped molecular structure. tRNAs have two regions of fundamental functional importance: the anti-codon, which is responsible for specific mRNA codon recognition, and the 3' end, to which the tRNAs corresponding amino acid is attached (by aminoacyl-tRNA synthetases). tRNAs cope with the degeneracy of the genetic code in two manners: having more than one tRNA (with a specific anti-codon) for a particular amino acid; and 'wobble' base-pairing, i.e. permitting non-standard base-pairing at the 3rd anti-codon position. The record is from RNAcentral. Lineage: Bacteria; Bacillati; Bacillota; Clostridia; Lachnospirales; Lachnospiraceae.
AGGGCUAUCGCCAAGCGGUAAGGCACAGCACUUUGACUGCUGCAUACGACGGUUCGAAUCCGGCUAGCCCAG